GGUGAUGUAGGUUGGUCAUGCCUCCGGUAUGUACUGGCCUCACUGAUUCCUCCUUCCUGAUGAACCGUAAUGCCAUUAAUUUGGUGUUGCGGGGAAUUUGGACUGUUACUUUGAAAAAAUUAGAGUGUUUAAAGCAAGCUAACGCUUGAAUACAUUAGCAUGGAAUAAUGAAAUAGGACGUUCGAUCCUAUUUUGUUGGUUUCUAGGAUUGACGUAAUGAUUAAUAGGGAUAGUUGGGC
Molecule: ribosomal RNA, 239 nt
Filed under: uncultured Glomeromycotina
Lineage: Eukaryota; Fungi; Glomeromycota
Description: partial 18S ribosomal RNA
Rfam family: Eukaryotic small subunit ribosomal RNA (bases 40-239)
Source: RNAcentral